CGAGUAUAGUGGCGAACUGGUGAGUAACGCGUAAGUAUUUGCCCUUUAGUGAAGAAUACCCUCGAGAAAUCGAGGUUAAUACUGCAUACGUCCCUUCGGGGAGAAAGGUGGCCUCUUGCUACCGCUUAAGGAUGAACUUGCGUACUAUUAGCUUGUUGGUGAGGUAAAGGCUCACCAAGGCAAUGAUGGUUAGCCGGCCUGAGAGGGUGACCGGCCACAUUGGGACUGAGAUACGGCCCAG
RNAcentral lists this ribosomal RNA (241 nucleotides) under uncultured bacterium. RNAcentral describes it as "partial 16S ribosomal RNA". It matches the Rfam family "Bacterial small subunit ribosomal RNA", at positions 87 to 334 of the family's 1533-position model. The record is from RNAcentral.